RNAcentral lists this ribosomal RNA (253 nucleotides) under uncultured bacterium. Its description in RNAcentral is "partial 16S ribosomal RNA". It matches the Rfam family "Bacterial small subunit ribosomal RNA", at positions 524 to 776 of the family's 1533-position model. The record is from RNAcentral.
UACGGGGGGAGCAAGCGUUGUUCGGAUUUACUGGGCGUAAAGGGCGCGUAGGCGGCCUGUUAAGUCGAACGUGAAAUCCCUGGGCUCAACCCAGGAACUGCGUCCGAUACUGGCAGGCUUGAAUUCGGGAGAGGGAUGUGGAAUUCCAGGUGUAGCGGUGAAAUGCGUAGAUAUCUGGAGGAACACCGGUGGCGAAGGCGGCAUCCUGGACCGAUAUUGACGCUGAGGCGCGAAAGCCAGGGGAGCAAACGGG